This 253-nucleotide ribosomal RNA is filed under the name uncultured bacterium. Its description in RNAcentral is "partial 16S ribosomal RNA". It matches the Rfam family "Bacterial small subunit ribosomal RNA", at positions 524 to 776 of the family's 1533-position model. The record is from RNAcentral.
UACGGGGGGGGCAAGCGUUGUUCGGAAUUACUGGGCGUAAAGGGCGCGUAGGCGGUCUUCUAAGUCGGACGUGAAAUCCCUCGGCUUAACCGAGGAACUGCGUCCGAUACUGAAAGGCUUGAAUCCGGGAGAGGGAUGUGGAAUUCCAGGUGUAGCGGUGAAAUGCGUAGAUAUCUGGAGGAACACCGGUGGCGAAGGCGGCAUCCUGGACCGGCAUUGACGCUGAGGCGCGAAAGCUAGGGGAGCAAACGGG